GUGGUUGUGGCUCAGCGGUAGAGCACUUGCCUAGCAUGCGUGGGGCUCUGGGUUCCAUCCUCAGCAGCACA
RNAcentral lists this transfer RNA (71 nucleotides) under Marmota monax (woodchuck). It matches the Rfam family "tRNA". From Rfam's summary of the family: Transfer RNA (tRNA) molecules are approximately 80 nucleotides in length. Their secondary structure includes four short double-helical elements and three loops (D, anti-codon, and T loops). Further hydrogen bonds mediate the characteristic L-shaped molecular structure. tRNAs have two regions of fundamental functional importance: the anti-codon, which is responsible for specific mRNA codon recognition, and the 3' end, to which the tRNAs corresponding amino acid is attached (by aminoacyl-tRNA synthetases). tRNAs cope with the degeneracy of the genetic code in two manners: having more than one tRNA (with a specific anti-codon) for a particular amino acid; and 'wobble' base-pairing, i.e. permitting non-standard base-pairing at the 3rd anti-codon position. The record is from Rfam by way of RNAcentral. Lineage: Eukaryota; Metazoa; Chordata; Mammalia; Rodentia; Sciuridae.